Molecule: ribosomal RNA, 798 nt
Filed under: uncultured organism
Description: bacterial SSU rRNA
Rfam family: Bacterial small subunit ribosomal RNA
Source: RNAcentral
GUCAGAGAGCUUGCUCUCGAAGCUUAGCGGCGAACGGUCGCGUAACACGUAAGCAACCUGCCCUGAAGUUGGGGAUAGCCCUCCGAAAGGAGGAUUAAUACCGAAUGUGGACAUUUGGCGACAUCGCUGAAUGUCUAAAGUGGUAACACGCUUCAGGAUGGGCUUGCGGCCUAUCAGCUAGUUGGUGGGGUAACGGCCUACCAAGGCGACGACGGGUAGCUGGUCUGAGAGGAUGGUCAGCCGGACUGGGACUGAGAUACGGCCCAGACUCCUACGGGGGGCAGCAAUUAGGAAUCUUGCGCAAUGGGCGAAAGCCUGACGCAGCGACGCCGCGUGACUGAUGAAGUUCUUCGGAAUGUAAAGGUCUUUUCUGAGGGAAGAAGAAUGUGACGGUACCUCAGGAAUAAGCUCCGGCUAACUACGUGCCAGCAGCCGCGGUAAUACGUAGGGAGCAAGCGUUGUCCGAAUUCACUGGGCGUAAAGCGCGCGUAGGCGGGUUUUUAAGUUGGUGGUGAAAUCCCGAGGCUCAACCUCGGAACUGCCUCCAAAACUGGGAACCUUGAGGUAUGGAGGGGGAAGUGGAAUUCCAGGUGUAGCGGUGAAAUGCGUAGAUAUCUGGAGGAACACCCGUGGCGAAGGCGGCUUCCUGGCCAUAUCCUGACGCUGAGGUGCGAAAGCUAGGGUAGCGAACGGGAUUAGAUACCCCGGUAGUCCUAGCCGUAAACGAUGGAUACUAGGUGUUAGAGGUAUCGACCCCUCUAGUGCCGAAGCUAACGCAUUAAGUAUCCCGCCUGGGGA